RNAcentral lists this ribosomal RNA (253 nucleotides) under uncultured bacterium. RNAcentral's name for it is "partial 16S ribosomal RNA". It matches the Rfam family "Bacterial small subunit ribosomal RNA", at positions 524 to 776 of the family's 1533-position model. The record is from RNAcentral.
UACGUAGGGCGCAAGCGUUGUCCGGAAUUAUUGGGCGUAAAGAGCUCGUAGGCGGUCUGUCGCGUCUGCCGUGAAAACCCGAGGCUUAACCUCGGGCUGGCGGUGGAUACGGGCAGACUAGAGGUAGGUAGGGGAGAAUGGAAUUCCCGGUGUAGCGGUGAAAUGCGCAGAUAUCGGGAGGAACACCGGUGGCGAAGGCGGUUCUCUGGGACGUAACUGACGCUGAGACGCGAAAGCGUGGGGAGCAAACAGG